RNAcentral lists this ribosomal RNA (468 nucleotides) under uncultured bacterium. Its description in RNAcentral is "partial 16S ribosomal RNA". It matches the Rfam family "Bacterial small subunit ribosomal RNA", at positions 28 to 507 of the family's 1533-position model. The record is from RNAcentral.
GAUGAACGCUGGCGGCGUGCUUAACACAUGCAAGUCGAACGGAAAGGCCCUGCUUUUGUGGGGCGCUCGAGUGGCGAACGGGUGAGUAACACGCGAGUAACCUGUCCCUGACUUUGGGAUAACUCCAGGAAACUGGGGCUAAUAUCGGAUAGGAGCUCCUGCAGCAUGGUGGGGGUUGGAAAGUUUCGGCGGUUGGGGAUGGACUCGCGGGUUAUCAGCUUGUUGGGGGGGUAGUGGCAUACCAAGGCUUUGACGGGUAGCCGGCCUGGGAGGGUGGACGGGGACAAGAGGCCUACGGGACGGACCAGACUCGUACGGGAGGCAGCGGUGGAGAGUAUUGCAGAAUGGGGGGAAGCCUGAGGCGACGGCGCCGCGUGCGGGAUAACGGCCUUCGGGUUGUGAACCGCUUUCGCCGGUGACGUAGCGUGAGUGACGGUAAUGGGUAAAAAAGCACCGGCUAACUACGUG